Mycobacterium kyorinense is the source of this 60-nucleotide non-coding RNA. NCBI's taxonomy places the organism in Bacteria, Bacillati, Actinomycetota, Actinomycetes, Mycobacteriales, Mycobacteriaceae. The record is from Rfam.
GGCGGUCUUCGGUAGUGGCUGCCGGAUGAGCUUAUCCGGCCGCUUCGAUCGACGGCCGUA